Molecule: transfer RNA, 161 nt
Filed under: Picea abies (Norway spruce)
Lineage: Eukaryota; Viridiplantae; Streptophyta; Pinopsida; Pinales; Pinaceae
Description: transfer RNA-His
Source: RNAcentral
AAUGUCAUCACAUCAGGAGAACGAUGGAUUUGUUUCUCCGAACUUUUCAGUAUUUCGAAGAGACCGUUGUUUCCAUCUUUCCUUUCCUGGACUAUUGUAUUGGGAUCCUAUCUUGAUCCUGUGGCGAUUUUGCAUGCAUAUAUUAUGCACAAGGACAGGUA